UACGGGGGGGGUAAGCGUUGUUCGGAAUUACUGGGCGUAAAGGGCUCGUAGGCGGCCAACUAAGUCAGACGUGAAAUCCCUCAGCUUAACUGGGGAACUGCGUCUGAUACUGGAUGGCUUGGAUCCGGGAGAGGGAUGCGGAAUUCCAGGUGUAGCGGUGAAAUGCGUAGAUAUCAGGAGGAACACCGGUGGCGAAGGCGGGUCUCUGGGCCGAUACUGACGCUGAGGAGCGAAAGCGUGGGGAGCGAACAGG
Molecule: ribosomal RNA, 253 nt
Filed under: uncultured bacterium
Lineage: Bacteria
Description: partial 16S ribosomal RNA
Rfam family: Bacterial small subunit ribosomal RNA
Source: RNAcentral